GGAGAAUCAUAUAAAAAGGGAAUUUGGUGUAAAACCAAAACAGUGCCCGCUACUGUAACAUCUGUUUAAUGUGAAAGCAAGUCUACUAUACCACUGUCUUUUAAAGAUGGGAAGGGUGCUUUCUCGAUGAAGUCAGGAAACCUGCCAAACUAAAA
RNAcentral lists this non-coding RNA (155 nucleotides) under Parabacteroides gordonii. Lineage: Bacteria; Pseudomonadati; Bacteroidota; Bacteroidia; Bacteroidales; Tannerellaceae. The record is from RNAcentral.